This 459-nucleotide ribosomal RNA is filed under the name uncultured bacterium. RNAcentral describes it as "partial 16S ribosomal RNA". It matches the Rfam family "Bacterial small subunit ribosomal RNA", at positions 338 to 795 of the family's 1533-position model. The record is from RNAcentral.
CCUACGGGAGGCAGCAGUGAGGAAUAUUGGUCAAUGGGCGGGAGCCUGAACCAGCCAAGCCGCGUGAGGGAAGAAGGUCCAGCGUAUCGUAAACCUCUUUUGUCAGGGAACAAAGGCGGGGACUAGUCCCCGGCUGAGGGUACCUGAAGAAAAAGCAUCGGCUAACUCCGUGCCAGCAGCCGCGGUAAUACGGAGGAUGCGAGCGUUAUCCGGAUUUAUUGGGUUUAAAGGGUGCGCAGGCGGCCUGUUAAGUCAGCGGUAAAAGCCCGGGGCUCAACCCCGGCGAGCCGUUGAAACUGGCGGGCUGGAGUGGGAGAGAAGUACGCGGAAUGCGCGGUGUAGCGGUGAAAUGCUUAGAUAUCGCGCAGAACCCCGAUUGCGAAGGCAGCGUACCGGAUCAACACUGACGCUGAGGCACGAAAGCGUGGGUAUCGAACAGGAUUAGAUACCCUAGUAGUC